Esox lucius (northern pike) is the source of this 299-nucleotide long non-coding RNA. RefSeq lists it as uncharacterized. The transcript is spliced from 3 exons. NCBI's taxonomy places the organism in Eukaryota, Metazoa, Chordata, Actinopteri, Esociformes, Esocidae. The record is from RefSeq and is a predicted model, not a curated record.
CACAGGUCCUCAACUGGCAGCUUCAUUAAAUAGCAGCCACAACACACCAGUAUCAACAAGGAAGGGGUGAAAAUCUGCCGUUUCCAGGAGAACAUUGAGGGAAACAUCAGACAUGUUUCAUCAGACAUGUCAUAACAGGAUGCACCAGGGAUGGAUCCAGCUGAUUACUGGCAAUUUGAAAGAGGCCUGCAGAGGACUUUAUCUGCUAUGUGUCACUGUCACUUCUGGUUCAGUGUGAUAGUGAAACAUAGCAGAUAGCUUUAGACUGUUCAUGGUUGCCACAUAUAAAAGAAGACCUA